AAAUUAUGGAUGUCUGAAACCAUGGGUAGUACUGAGCCCUAGAUUGGGCAUCUAUCCCACACCAAGCACUGUCUGGCAUCUUGAACCUGAAUCGAGUCAUGUAAUCUUCACAUCAGUCCUAGAAGUAGAGGCUGUUUCAUUCCCACUUUACAAACGAAAGCUAAGUCACACUGGUAAUUGGUGGCGAGUUGGAGUUCAAGCUUCAUAAUCUGGCUCCAGAGCUCACUACACAAGUCUGCCUCUCUUCAGCGGACAAAGUAAGUUGAGAAGCACAGUCUUUUCUUCUCUAAGGAAUAUAAAAAGAGAAAACAUGAAGACAGAGCCAACUGGGAAAGCCUUAAGAAAAUAGUGAAUUAACUAUGUGGAUUAAGUAUGGACUACUCUCUGAACUUUUAUUGCUCAUCUUUAUUAAUUAUUUUGUAUCUUUGCACCCUGAAUCAUCAUUAGUUAUCACUCAUCCUUGUUGGGUACAGAGAAUGUACAUGUUCUACUUCUCCUAGCCGACUGUAUGUUACGUGAGGAAGUGCACAGCGGGGACAUUCCUAAUACUUUCAACAUCCUCCUUUGUAUCUGGCCCAGCACUUUAUAGAAGCCGUGUUCAAUACUCAUUAGCCAGUUGGCAAUAAAUUACAGUACAUGAUACAGAGGGGGAAAAAUGGUGGAAGAAGUGGUAAUUGAAGGGAAACCAAAGUCUCUUCAUAUUUAUUGUAUUUGUAGAUGGUGGGGUGAAGAAUUUAGGAGGGAUUAAGAGACCAGGUUGGACUUUGAUAAUGUAUAAUGCCU
RNAcentral lists this long non-coding RNA (783 nucleotides) under Homo sapiens (human). RNAcentral describes it as "HSALNT0233123". Lineage: Eukaryota; Metazoa; Chordata; Mammalia; Primates; Hominidae. The record is from RNAcentral.